GAACAGCUGAGAUAUUUUAUAGCCUGUCAACAACCCCUCUUCAAGAAUAACCUGAGAAAGCAGGGGGAGUUGCAAAGAAGCUUCAAGCAAGGAAAUUACCUGUCUCUGGAUCCUUCUUAUGUCAAGAAAUCAAGUUUUGAUUGUCUGUGGAGAGCAAGGCUUGAUCCACAACAGAGGAUCCUUUGAGCUGUAGUGUUUACCUUGCUGUCUCAAGCCCUAACUGCUUCAUUCUUUGUAAUUUGAUUAUUUGGUCACGCCCUGGAAUGCAAAGUAUUGCUCUGAUGUAUUUGUAUAAACCUAGGCUCUUCAAAUACUGUCCAGAGCAGCCAGACAGAAACAUCUGGGAGCCUUGCUUCUGCAGUGCCAAUAUGCAUGGAGACAGACUCAUUUACACCAACAAAAAAAUGCCUGUGCAUCUACUGACUAAUCAGAACACAAUUUGUCAAAGAAAAAAUAUUGUUUAUGCAUCAACAUUCACUUUGGAUUUUUUUUUUUAUUCUGAAGGAACCACUGUCCUUCUGGCUACCAAGGGCCUUUUGCUGGAACAAAACAAUGAAGAGAUCAGGGAGGUACCAGGAGACUGUAUUUUGGUCCUGAAAAUUAUUGGCAGUUUUUGUAAUCUUCUCAUAUCCCUUCUGCUAGGGAUUAGAAGUAGCAAGAAGGGUGGGUUUACUGGGGAAGUCUUGUAAAAUAAACAAACAUUACCAGUCUAAGCGUCCA
RNAcentral lists this long non-coding RNA (720 nucleotides) under Cyanistes caeruleus (blue tit). RNAcentral's name for it is "lncRNA (ENSCCEG00000013941.1)". Lineage: Eukaryota; Metazoa; Chordata; Aves; Passeriformes; Paridae. The record is from RNAcentral.